CCAAUAGCGUAUAUUAAAGUUGUUGCAGUUAAAAAGCUCGUAGUUGAAUUUCGGGAUCAGUACGUUGGUCAUGCCUUGGUAUGUACUGGUGUAACUGAUUCCUCCCUUCUGACGAACCGUCAUGCCAUUCACUUGGUGUGGCGGGAAAUCAGGACUGUUACUUUGAAAAAAUUAGAGUGUUUAAAGCAGGCUCGCGCUUGAAUACAUUAGCAUGGAAUAAUGAAAUAGGACGUUAAUCCUAUUUUGUUGGUUUCUAGGAGAGACGUAAUGAUUAAUAGGGAUAGUUGGGGGCAUUAGUAUUCAAUUGUCAGAGGUGAAAUUCUUGGAUUUAUUGAAGACUAACUACUGCGAAAGCAUUUGCCAAGGAUGUUUUCAUUAAUCAAGAACGAAAGUUAGGGGAUCGAAGACGAUCAGAUACCGUCGUAGUCUUAACCAUAAACUAUGCCGACUAGGGAUCGGAUGAUGUUAAUUUUUUAAUGACUCAGUCGGCGCCUUACG
RNAcentral lists this unclassified non-coding RNA (498 nucleotides) under uncultured Glomus. Its description in RNAcentral is "SSU rRNA". It matches the Rfam family "Eukaryotic small subunit ribosomal RNA", at positions 591 to 1092 of the family's 1831-position model. Lineage: Eukaryota; Fungi; Glomeromycota; Glomeromycetes; Glomerales; Glomeraceae. The record is from RNAcentral.